AAGUCGUAACAAGGUUUCCGUAGGUGAACCUGCGGAAGGAUCAUUGACAAAUCUAAACCGUUGCGUGGCAGUAGUGUGUUGGCCUAACCGUUAACAUACGCCGUCACGUCAACAAAUCUUAACCUGUGAAUCGCAGCACGCAAGUGUUGUUGUGUAAGUGAAUGUGUAUUGAAACAAGUAAUUGUAUCUCUGCACACCUCCACACACAUAAAAUUAACGUAACAAAUGUCUUGAAAUACAAAACUAAAAAAUACAACUUUUAGCAAUGGAUCUCUUGGCUUCU
Molecule: unclassified non-coding RNA, 283 nt
Filed under: fungal sp.
Lineage: Eukaryota; Fungi
Description: partial internal transcribed spacer region
Rfam family: Eukaryotic small subunit ribosomal RNA (bases 1-46)
Source: RNAcentral